AACUUUCAGCAAUGGAUCUCUUGGCUCUCGCAUCGAUGAAGAACGCAGCGAAAUGCGAUAAGUAAUGUGAAUUGCAGAAUUCAGUGAAUCAUCGAAUCUUUGAACGCAUCUUGCGCUCCUUGGUAUUCCGAGGAGCAUGCCUGUUUGAGUGUCAUUAAAUUCUCAACUACACUUACUUGGUGUGGCUUGGAUUUGGGGGGUCAAUUGCAGGCUUGUCUGCUCCCCUGAAAUUAAUUAGUGGUACCUUGGCGGAACUGUCUACAGGUGUGAUAAUUAUCUACAUCUUUUAAGACAUCUGUAAAUGCUGCUUUCUAAACUUGUAAAAUGACAAUCUUGACCUCAAAUCAGGUAGGACUACCCGCUGAACUUAAGCAUAUCAAUAAGCGGAGGAAAAGAAACU
RNAcentral lists this ribosomal RNA (400 nucleotides) under uncultured fungus. Its description in RNAcentral is "eukaryotic LSU rRNA". The stretch from base 1 to 154 matches the Rfam family "5.8S ribosomal RNA". The record is from RNAcentral. Lineage: Eukaryota; Fungi.